UACGGAGGGUGCAAGCAUUAAUCGGAUUUAUUGGGCGUAAAGGGCGCGUAGGCGGGAAUGAAAGUCAGAUGUGAAAUCCCGAGGCUUAACCUCGGAACAGCAUUUGAAACUCCAUUUCUUGAGGCUAGAAGGAGAAAACGGAAUUCCACAAGUAGCGGUGAAAUGCGUAGAUAUGUGGAAGAACACCGGUGGCGAAGGCGGUUUUCUAUUUUAGACCUGACGCUGAGGCGCGAAAGUAAGGGGAUCAAACAGG
This 253-nucleotide ribosomal RNA is filed under the name uncultured bacterium. Its description in RNAcentral is "partial 16S ribosomal RNA". It matches the Rfam family "Bacterial small subunit ribosomal RNA", at positions 524 to 776 of the family's 1533-position model. The record is from RNAcentral.